Carica papaya (papaya) is the source of this 604-nucleotide non-coding RNA. The record is from RefSeq and is a predicted model, not a curated record. Lineage: Eukaryota; Viridiplantae; Streptophyta; Magnoliopsida; Brassicales; Caricaceae.
CUUUACAUGAAAAUCUUGAGGAAACCAUUUACAUGACACAACUCCGAGGUUUUCUUGACAAAGAUUAUCCUUAUUUUGUGUGCAAACUUAAUAAGUCUUUGUAUUGUAUGGUUUAAGCAGAGUCUACGUACUUGGUUUCAACACGCCUAAGCCCAAGGACAAGGAAAGUUUGGCCUCAAACUUGUGUGCAGAGCUGAUCCCCAAAAAAAGGAAGCUUGGGGUUUGCUUCCUACUGGUACUUGGAAGGAGCAAACUGGAGAGCAUGAAUGAGACGCAGUGGUGUUGUGCUUGAUAAUAACACAAAAAAUGGAAGGCUCAGAUACUUACAGAUGCCUCGUCAAAGCGAGAAGAAGAGAAACGAAAGAUGUGGACUUCGGGGUUGGGGAGCAGCGUUGACCAAGGAUUUAUAACAAUAAGGAGCCCAGAUGAUGUCGGAGCAAGGGGGGUCUAUGGCAGAUCGAAGCAGAAAGACGAAAGGAUAAGAGCUGGGGAUGAUGAUGUAAUAAUCUGUAAUUAGAUGCAGUAUGAGUAUCUUAAUUUUUUGGGAUGGCAGUAAAGCGGAAUUCUAUGAAAUGAAUCAAUUUAUUUAACCCUUUUUACUGAA